This 82-nucleotide ribosomal RNA is filed under the name Desulfobacterales bacterium. Lineage: Bacteria; Pseudomonadati; Thermodesulfobacteriota; Desulfobacteria; Desulfobacterales. The record is from RNAcentral.
CAUCUCGAACACGGAAGUUAAGCUCUUUAGCGUCGAUGGUACUGCAUGGGAGACUGUGUGGGAGAGUAGAACGCUGCCAGAU